CCUACGGGAGGCAGCAGUGAGGAAUAUUGGUCAAUGGGCGCGAGCCUGAACCAGCCAAGUCGCGUGAGGGAUGACGGUCCUACGGAUUGUAAACCUCUUUUGCCGGGGAGCAAGCGUGCGUUCGUGAACGCGCGUCGGGAGUACCCGGAGAAAAAGCAUCGGCUAACUCCGUGCCAGCAGCCGCGGUAUUACGGAGGAUGCGAGCGUUAUCCGGAUUUAUUGGGUUUAAAGGGUGCGUAGGCGGGAUGCCAAGUCAGCGGUAAAAAUGCGGGGCUCAACGCCGUCGAGCCGUUGAAACUGGCGGUCUUGAGUGGGCGAGAAGUAUGCGGAAUGCGUGGUGUAGCGGUGAAAUGCAGAGAUAGCACGCAGAACUCCGAUUGCGAAGGCAGCAUACCGGCGCCCUACUGACGCUGAGGCACGAAAGCGUGGGGAUCGAACAGGAUUAGAUACCCGUGUAGUC
RNAcentral lists this ribosomal RNA (460 nucleotides) under uncultured bacterium. RNAcentral's name for it is "partial 16S ribosomal RNA". It matches the Rfam family "Bacterial small subunit ribosomal RNA", at positions 338 to 795 of the family's 1533-position model. The record is from RNAcentral.